This 458-nucleotide ribosomal RNA is filed under the name uncultured bacterium. RNAcentral's name for it is "partial 16S ribosomal RNA". It matches the Rfam family "Bacterial small subunit ribosomal RNA", at positions 338 to 795 of the family's 1533-position model. The record is from RNAcentral.
CCUACGGGUGGCAGCAGUGGGGAAUAUUGGGCAAUGGGCGCAAGCCUGACCCAGCAACGCCGCGUGAAGGAAGAAGGCUUUCGGGUUGUAAACUUCUUUUGUCAAGGGACAAAAUCAGGCUCGAGAGCCUGACCGAGGGUACUUGAAGAAAAAGCAUCGGCUACCUCCGUGCCAGCAGCCGCUGUAAUACGGAGGAAGCGAUCGUUAUCCGGAUUUAUUGGGUUCAAGGGGGGCGUAGGGGGGCUGUUAAGUCACCGGUAAAAGCCCGGGUCUCAACCCCGGCGAGCCGUUGAAACUGGCUGUCUGGAGAUGUCGAGAGGUAUGCGGAAUGCGCAGUGUAGCGGUGAAAUGCUUAGAUAUUGCGCAGAACUCCGAUUGCGAAGGCAGCAUACCGGCGGCGAUCUGACGCUGAGGCACGAAAGCGUGGGUAUCGAACAGGAUUAGAUACCCCAGUAGUC